This 550-nucleotide ribosomal RNA is filed under the name uncultured Glomus. RNAcentral describes it as "SSU rRNA". It matches the Rfam family "Eukaryotic small subunit ribosomal RNA", at positions 548 to 1098 of the family's 1831-position model. The record is from RNAcentral. Lineage: Eukaryota; Fungi; Glomeromycota; Glomeromycetes; Glomerales; Glomeraceae.
UUGGAGGGCAAGUCUGGUGCCAGCAGCCGCGGUAAUUCCAGCUCCAAUAGCGUAUAUUAAAGUUGUUGCAGUUAAAAAGCUCGUAGUUGAAUUUCGGGGUCAGUAGAUUGGUCGUGCCACUGGUAUGUACUGGUCUUACUGGCUCCUCCUUCCUGAUGAACCGUAAUGCCAUUAAUUUGGUGUUGCGGGGAGACUGGACUGUUACUUUGAAAAAAUUAGAGUGUUUAAAGCAGGCUAACGCUUGAAUACAUUAGCAUGGAAUAAUGAAAUAGGACGUUCGAUCUUAUUUUGUUGGUUUCUAGGAUUGACGUAAUGAUUAAUAGGGAUAGUUGGGGGCAUUAGUAUUCAAUUGUCAGAGGUGAAAUUCUUGGAUUUAUUGAAGACUAACUACUGCGAAAGCAUUUGCCAAGGAUGUUUUCAUUAAUCAAGAACGAAAGUUAGGGGAUCGAAGACGAUCAGAUACCGUCGUAGUCUUAACCAUAAACUAUGCCGACUAGGGAUCGGAUGAUGUUAAUUUUUUAAUGACUCAUUCGGCGCCUUACGGGGAAAC